CUUAUACGACAAUAAGCUGAGUGGUGAAAUUCCUUCGGAUUUGGUUCAGUUAAACUUUCUAUCAGUCUUCUCAGUGGCAAACAACAAUUUAUCAGGACGUACACGGAUAGGAAGGCUCAGUUUGCAACCUUUGAAGCGAGCACCUACGAAGGCAAUCCUUUCCUUUGUGGAUUACCUCUCGAGGAAAACUGCAGAAGGAGCACUGCAGUAUCAGAUCCAAAUCCAGGAGAAAAUAAUCUGUUCAAAGAUUCAUUUUUGGAAACUUUUGUUCCAUCAUGCAUUGUGGCAUUCCUAGGAGUUGUUGCUUUUAUUUACUUCAACCCCAGUUGCAGAAUGCUUUUUCAGUUUGUUGAAGCAAAACUCUUAUCUUCCAGAGAGAUUUGCCUAGUUAUUUACUGUACAUGAUGAAAAAAGUAACUGAGUGUGUGCAAGAUUAUAGAAAGAAAAUUAAAGCAUACUACUUUUUAUGACAUAUAUUUGGCAAUUUAACAGCAUCUUCUCGGAGCUCUGUGUUUAUUUCUACCCAUGCAUGUGUGAAAAUGUUAUAUUUCAAUCUUCAUUAUACUGAUAAUUUAAAGGUGAGUUUUUUUUUUUUUUAAUUUUUAAUUUUGCUGCUUUUAUUGUUUACAAGAAUCUACCCAAAAUUGUCUCUUGAAAAGUUUUUCAAUUGAAGAAGAGACUUAGAAACAAAUAAUCAUGAGCAUUGUGACUUGUGAAAAAUAAUACAAAUAGAUUUGGUUUCUCCUCCUUUUAACCAUCCAAGAGUUAAAUUGCAACAGUAUUUCAUUUGUAUCAGGUAAAAGAAAGGGAAAGAAAAGAUAUUUUGUACGAGACAGGGCAAAGGAUUAUCAAGUUUCACUCUACCUGCUGUCUUGUUUCCCCAGUGCAAUAUAUAUCCAGUUGAAGAUGUUACGAUGAGGUUUGUCCAGCAUUUUGGUUGCUUUCAAAAGCUUGCCUGCCCCCCAUCAGCUAAGGAGCAGCAAUUCUCUAAUCAAGAUUCAAUUUGAAUUCAGCCACCAUCCUUUCUUAGCCAGUGCCAUUGUGAAAAGAUUUUGAAGAGUGUAACGUCUGCAUACAUCCAGACUCUACCUAUGGAAUCAUACUGAGUAUGUUGAUUUUACGAGAAAGAGUGUCUGGAAAAGUGUAAUUUCAUAGCUUAUUAGAAUACUAGAAUUAACAAAAAGACUAAGACAUUUCAAGAGGCAAUUCAUUUAUAUUUUACUUUUAGUUCAAGUCUUAUCCUGGUGAUUUGUGACAUAAACUAUCCAAAAUGCAACUCAAAUCGCCGGAUAAUCCAAAAGUUUUGAAGCAUUUACAAGAAUACAUAAAACCCUUAAAAGUAAUUAGUAGAACUUGAUGAAAUGAGUUAUGUGAAGUCAAGUUAUUUGGUAACUAAAUCUUGAUUAACUCUUACUUUGGUUAUCUUUGAAUGGCUAUUAGCAAUGCAAUACGAUAUUAAAAU
Molecule: non-coding RNA, 1462 nt
Organism: Nicotiana tabacum (common tobacco)
Lineage: Eukaryota; Viridiplantae; Streptophyta; Magnoliopsida; Solanales; Solanaceae
Source: RefSeq, a predicted model, not a curated record